AGAGAGUUAGCUAAGUGGUUCACAGCACCUGAUUUACAUUCAGGAGAUCGAGAGUUCGACUCUCUCACUCUCUA
RNAcentral lists this transfer RNA (74 nucleotides) under Caudoviricetes sp. RNAcentral describes it as "tRNA-Val". It matches the Rfam family "tRNA". Rfam says of the family: Transfer RNA (tRNA) molecules are approximately 80 nucleotides in length. Lineage: Duplodnaviria; Heunggongvirae; Uroviricota; Caudoviricetes. The record is from RNAcentral.